GGAGACGUCGCAUAGUGGUCUAGUGCACCGCCUUGGAAAGGCGGCAAGGUGUCAAAGCCUUCGAGGGUUCAAAUCCCUCCGUCUCCG
RNAcentral lists this transfer RNA (87 nucleotides) under Minisyncoccota bacterium. RNAcentral's name for it is "tRNA-Ser". It matches the Rfam family "tRNA". Rfam says of the family: Transfer RNA (tRNA) molecules are approximately 80 nucleotides in length. Their secondary structure includes four short double-helical elements and three loops (D, anti-codon, and T loops). The record is from RNAcentral. Lineage: Bacteria; Bacillati; Minisyncoccota.